This 315-nucleotide ribosomal RNA is filed under the name uncultured eukaryote. RNAcentral describes it as "partial 18S ribosomal RNA". It matches the Rfam family "Eukaryotic small subunit ribosomal RNA", at positions 1470 to 1796 of the family's 1831-position model. The record is from RNAcentral.
CCCUUAGACGUUCUGGGCCGCACGCGCGCUACACUGACCAGUGCAACAAGCAUCCGUCCUUGGCCGACAGGCUCGGGCAAUCUUUGAACGCUGGUCGUGAUGGGGAUAGACUUUUGCAAUUUUUGGUCUUCAACGAGGAAUUCCUAGUAAACGCAAGUCAUCAACUUGCAUUGAUUACGUCCCUGCCCUUUGUACACACCGCCCGUCGCACCUACCGAUUGAAUGGACCGGUGAAGCCUCCGGAUUGGCGCGCACCUCGGUGCCGCCGAGAAGUUGGCUAAACCUUACCAUUUAGAGGAAGGUGAAGUCGUAACA